This 1449-nucleotide ribosomal RNA is filed under the name uncultured bacterium. Its description in RNAcentral is "bacterial SSU rRNA". It matches the Rfam family "Bacterial small subunit ribosomal RNA". The record is from RNAcentral.
AGGGUUUGAUCAUGGCUCAGGAUGAACGCUGGCGGCGUGCUUAACACAUGCAAGUCGAACGAACCUUCGGGUUAGUGGCGGACGGGUGAGUAACGCGUGAGAAUCUGCCCUCAGGAGGGGGAUAACAGCUGGAAACGGCUGCUAAUACCCCAUAUGCCGCGAGGUGAAAUGAAUUUCGCCUGAGGAUGAGCUCGCGUCUGAUUAGCUAGUUGGUGAGGUAAUGGCUUACCAAGGCUUCGAUCAGUAGCUGGUCUGAGAGGAUGAUCAGCCACACUGGGACUGAGACACGGCCCAGACUCCUACGGGAGGCAGCAGUGGGGAAUUUUCCGCAAUGGGCGAAAGCCUGACGGAGCAACGCCGCGUGAGGGACGAAGGCCUCUGGGCUGUAAACCUCUUUUCUCAAGGAAGAAGAUAUGACGGUACUUGAGGAAUAAGCCACGGCUAAUUCCGUGCCAGCAGCCGCGGUAAUACGGGAGUGGCAAGCGUUAUCCGGAAUUAUUGGGCGUAAAGCGUCCGCAGGCGGCUUUUCAAGUCUGCUGUUAAAACGUGGAGCUUAACUCCAUCAUGGCAGUGGAAACUGAAAGGCUUGAGUAUGGUAGGGGCAGAGGGAAUUCCCGGUGUAGCGGUGAAAUGCGUAGAUAUCGGGAAGAACACCAGUGGCGAAGGCGCUCUGCUGGGCCAUUACUGACGCUCAUGGACGAAAGCCAGGGGAGCGAAAGGGAUUAGAUACCCCUGUAGUCCUGGCCGUAAACGAUGAACACUAGGUGUCGGGGGAAUCGACCCCUUCGGUGUCGUAGCUAACGCGUUAAGUGUUCCGCCUGGGGAGUACGCACGCAAGUGUGAAACUCAAAGGAAUUGACGGGGGCCCGCACAAGCGGUGGAGUAUGUGGUUUAAUUCGAUGCAACGCGAAGAACCUUACCAGGGUUUGACAUCCUGCGAACCUCUUAGAAAUUUGAGGGUGCCUUCGGGAAUGCAGUGACAGGUGGUGCAUGGCUGUCGUCAGCUCGUGUCGUGAGAUGUUGGGUUAAGUCCCGCAACGAGCGCAACCCACGUUUUUAGUUGCCAGCAUUUAGUUGGGCACUCUAGAAAGACCGCCGGUGAUAAACCGGAGGAAGGUGUGGAUGACGUCAAGUCAUCAUGCCCCUUACACCCUGGGCUACACACGUACUACAAUGCUACGGACAAAGGGCAGCAAACUCGCGAGAGCUAGCAAAUCCCAUAAACCGUGGCUCAGUUCAGAUCGUAGGCUGCAACUCGCCUACGUGAAGCAGGAAUCGCUAGUAAUCGCAGGUCAGCAUACUGCGGUGAAUACGUUCCCGGGCCUUGUACACACCGCCCGUCACACCAUGGAAGUUGGCCAUGCCCGAAGUCGUUACUCCAACCCUUGUGGAGGAGGACGCCGAAGGUGGGGCUAAUGACUGGGGUGAAGUCAUAACAAGGUAGCCGUA